This 384-nucleotide ribosomal RNA is filed under the name uncultured prokaryote. Its description in RNAcentral is "bacterial SSU rRNA". It matches the Rfam family "Archaeal small subunit ribosomal RNA", at positions 341 to 725 of the family's 1478-position model. The record is from RNAcentral.
GCGAAAACUUUACAAUGCUGGCAACAGCGAUAAGGGAACCUCGAGUGCCAGGUUACAAAUCUGGCUGUCGAGAUGCCUAAAAAGCAUUUCAUAGCAAGGGCCGGGCAAGACCGGUGCCAGCCGCCGCGGUAACACCGGCGGCUCGAGUGGUAACCGUUAUUAUUGGGUCUAAAGGGUCUGUAGCCGGCCGGAUAAGUCUCUUGAGAAAUCUGGCAGCUUAACUGUCAGGCUUUCAGGAGAUACUGUCUGGCUCGAGGCCGGGAGAGGUGAGAGGUACUUCAGGGGUAGGGGUGAAAUCUUGUAAUCCUGGAAGGACGAACAGUGGCGAGGGCGUAUGACCAGAACGGACCUGACGGCAAGGGACGAAAGCUAGGGGCACGAACC